RNAcentral lists this ribosomal RNA (405 nucleotides) under uncultured bacterium. Its description in RNAcentral is "partial 16S ribosomal RNA". It matches the Rfam family "Bacterial small subunit ribosomal RNA", at positions 30 to 526 of the family's 1533-position model. The record is from RNAcentral.
AUUGAACGCUGGCGGCAGGCUUAACACCUGCAAGUCGAACGAGUGGCGGACGGGUGAGUAAUGCUUGGGAAUCUAGCUUAUGGAGGGGGAUAACUACGGGAAACUGUAGCUAAUACCGCAUACCAUAGGAUGAUCCCAAGUGGGAUUAGGUAGUUGGUGAGGUAACGGCGCACCAAGCCGACGAUCACUAGCUGGUCUGAGAGGAUGACCAGACACAAUGGGACUGAGACACGGUCCAGACUCCUACGGAAGGCAGCAGUGGGGAAUAUUGCGCAAUGGGGGCAACCUGACGCAGCCAUGCCGCGUGAAUGAAGAAGGCCUUCGGGUUGUAAAGUUCUUUCGGUAGCGAGGCGUUAACUACAGAAGAAGCACCGGCUAACUCCGUGCCAGCCGCCGCGGUAAUUC